GGGGGGAGAACCACAGGGAUUACCUCAGUAACGGCGAGUGAAGCGGUAACAGCUCAAAUUUGAAAUCUGGCCUCACGGUCCGAGUUGUAAUUUGUAGAGGAUGUUUCGAGCAUGGUCUGGCCUAAGUUCCUUGGAACAGGACGUCAUAGAGGGUGAGAAUCCCGUAUGCGGUCAGGUGCCUACGCUCAUGUGAAACUCCUUCGACGAGUCGAGUUGUUUGGGAAUGCAGCUCAAAAUGGGUGGUAAAUUUCAUCUAAAGCUAAAUAUUGGCCAGAGACCGAUAGCGCACAAGUAGAGUGAUCGAAAGAUGAAAAGCACUUUGGAAAGAGAGUUAAACAGUACGUGAAAUUGUUGAAAGGGAAGCGCUUGCAACCAGACUUGCGCGCAGCCGAUCAUCUGGUGUUCUCACCGGUGCACUCGGUUGCGCUCAGGCCAGCAUCGGUUUUGGCGGCUGGAUAAAGGCCUCAGGAAUGUGGCUCCUCUCGGGGAGUGUUAUAGCCUGGGGUGCAAUGCAGCCUGCUGGGACCGAGGACCGCGCUUCGGCUAGGAUGCUGGCGUAAUGGUUGUAAGCGGCCCGUCUUGAAACACGGACCAAGGAGUCUAACAUCUAUGCGAGUGUUUGGGUGUCAAACCCAUACGCGUAAUGAAAGUGAACGGAGGUGAGAACCCUUAAGGGUGCAUCAUCGACCGGUCCUGAAGUUUACGGACGGAUCUGAGUAAGAGCAUAGCUGUUGGGACCCGAAAGAUGGUGAACUAUGCCUGAAUAGGGUGAAGCCAGAGGAAACUCUGGUGGAGGCUCGCAGCGGUUCUGACGUGCAAAUCGAUCGUCAAAUUUGGGCAUAGGGGCGAAAGACUAAUCGAACCAUCUAGUAGCUGGUUCCUGCCGAAGUUCCCUCAGGAUAGCAGUGUUGAAUUCAGUUUUAUGAGGUAAAGCAAUGAUAAAGGGCUUGGGGUUGAACAACCUUACCUAUUCUCAACUUUAAUAUGUAAGAGUCUUGUACUUA
RNAcentral lists this ribosomal RNA (1004 nucleotides) under Thelebolaceae sp. RNAcentral describes it as "partial large subunit ribosomal RNA". It matches the Rfam family "Eukaryotic large subunit ribosomal RNA", at positions 51 to 1090 of the family's 3401-position model. The record is from RNAcentral. Lineage: Eukaryota; Fungi; Ascomycota; Leotiomycetes; Thelebolales; Thelebolaceae.